AAUGACUCCUGUAUGCAUUUAAUAUUAAUUUUUUAAAAAUACGGAGGCUACACAUUUAAACCAGAGCCUUUUGCUGCAUCAUUGUCCUCCAGGCACACUGGGGUUUGGGAGGCAGAGCUUUGAUCCCUGAUGAUCUUUUAGAAGCUUUGUAUAUAAAUGAGCCACUUCACUAUUCACUGAACAAUUCCCAGAACCUUAAAGUCGCUGGACCACAGUCAUCCUUCCUGUGUUGUGCAAUCUACCUUUUAACAGUCUUGUUUGUAAACUUGAAAGCACAAUGAGGGCCUUUCUUGGAGGUUUUAUAAAGCCUUAUCAAAGCAGCUCGGAUGACGACACCUCAGCGCUUUACUUCCACUCUUAAUGUAUUAUUGCUUCAGAGCCCAAACACUCUUGUAAUCGUCUAAGAAAAGACUCGGCAUCUGCUUCAUCUGGAGGAGGAAUGCUGUCUGCAAAUUCUUUCACAAGGAAGAUGCCCUCCACAUUUCUGCUGGCUUGCACAUUCUUUGACAAGAGAGGCGCAGAAAGCAAGGACCCACGUUACAUAACUGCGAGAUACACCCAAUGGCAAACUGGCACAUGCAGCGUCUUACUUGGAUGUGUCAGGAGUCUUGGAAGCUUCACUACCCAACGUUCUCCUACAAAGGGGCCUUGAGCUGGUUUGGAGGUCCUAACAGGGGAGUGCAGCUAUCGCAUACCCUUGACCGAAGAACAGUACACUCCUUCAAUCUGGGAUUGCUGUCCACCGAGCAGCUUCAGGAGGAACGCAGGAGGAGCGGUGAGGGAGGAAGGGGACACCCACCUAGCUGCCAGAUCAGCCUAAUCAACCCUGGCGAUCAAUGGGGUGAAAGAUGUCGCAGCCAGAUCUCCCUCACAUCUUACCUUUAAAGUAAAAGGCUCAAAUAAAUGGUCCGGAAACAGAUGAAUAUUACGCCAUAUGGUAUAAAUUUAUUGAGCAUGUAACUAAAUCUGAGGGCAUUCUUCACACCCACACCUCACACACGACUGGAAAAUUAUGGACUAUAUUUGAAAUAGAUACAGAACCUGCUUGCCAUUGAUUUAAAAAUACUUGUUUGUUUUGUUGUUAUUGUUCUGUUUACUUUUAUGUACCUUAAAUGUGCUGUAAAAACUUAAUAAUAAAAAGGUCUUUAAAUAUUA
Long non-coding RNA from Podarcis muralis (Common wall lizard), 1155 nucleotides. RefSeq lists it as uncharacterized. The record is from RefSeq and is a predicted model, not a curated record. Lineage: Eukaryota; Metazoa; Chordata; Lepidosauria; Squamata; Lacertidae.